Molecule: ribosomal RNA, 801 nt
Filed under: uncultured Diversispora
Lineage: Eukaryota; Fungi; Glomeromycota; Glomeromycetes; Diversisporales; Diversisporaceae
Description: SSU rRNA
Rfam family: Eukaryotic small subunit ribosomal RNA
Source: RNAcentral
AUCAACUUUCGAUGGUAGGAUAGAGGCCUACCAUGGUGGUAACGGGUAACGGGGUGUUAGGGCACGACACCGGAGAGGGAGCCUGAGAAACGGCUACCACAUCCAAGGAUGGCAGCAGGCGCGCAAAUUACCCAAUCCCGACACGGGGAGGUAGUGACAAUAAAUAACAAUACGGGGUUCUUUAGGAUCUCGUAAUUGGAAUGAGUACAAUUUAAAUCUCUUAACGAGGAACAAUUGGAGGGCAAGUCUGGUGCCAGCAGCCGCGGUAAUUCCAGCUCCAAUAGCGUAUAUUAAAGUUGUUGCAGUUAAAAAGCUCGUAGUUGAACUUCGGGGUUUACCCAUUGGUCAGGCUUAAUUGUCUGUACUGGUGAGAUAAAUCUCUACCUUCUGAGGAACUUUCAUGUCAUUAAUUUGGUGUGAUUGGAAAUCAGGACUGUUACUUUGAAAAAAUUAGAGUGUUUAAAGCAGGCUAACGUCUGAAUACAUUAGCAUGGAAUAAUGAAAUAGGACGGACUGAUUCUAUUUCGUUGGUUUCUAGGAUCACCGUAAUGAUUAAUAGGGAUAGUUGGGGGCAUUAGUAUUCAAUUGUCAGAGGUGAAAUUCUUGGAUUUAUUGAAGACUAACUACUGCGAAAGCAUUUGCCAAGGAUGUUUUCAUUAAUCAAGAACGAAAGUUAGGGGAUCGAAGACGAUCAGAUACCGUCGUAGUCUUAACCAUAAACUAUGCCGACUAGGGAUCGGACGAAGUUAAUUUUAUAAUGACGCGUUCGGCACCUUACGGGAAACCAAAGUGUUUGGGUUC